This is a non-coding RNA of Phrynosoma platyrhinos (Desert horned lizard), 71 nucleotides long. The record is from the annotation of a GenBank genome assembly. Lineage: Eukaryota; Metazoa; Chordata; Lepidosauria; Squamata; Phrynosomatidae.
GCCAUCGUGGUGUAGUGGUUUGAGUCUUGGACUACAACUCUGGAGACCAGGGUUUGAAUCCCUGCUUGGCC